GGUUAAAAAGCUCGUAGUUGGAUCUCGGCGGUCUGAGGGCGGUUCGCUUGAUUGAGUGCUACUGCUCUAUAGGCCGUGGUUUUGCCAGAGGUCUCGGGGUGCUCUUAACCGAGUGUCCUGCGAUGCUGGCAGGUUUACUUUGAAAAAAUUAGAGUGCUCAAAGCAGGCUUUUACGCCUGAAUAUUCGUGCAUGGAAUAAUAGAAUAGGAAGUCGUUUCUAUUUUGUUGGUUUUCGGAAAUCGACUUAAUGAUUAAUAGGGACAGUCGGGGGCAUUUGUAUUCAAACGACAGAGGUGAAAUUCUUGGACCGUUUGAAGACAAACUACUGCGAAAGCAUUUGCCAAGAAUGUUUUCAUUAAUCAAGAACGAAAGUUAGGGGUUCGAAGGCGAUUAGAUACCGCCCUAGUUCUAACCAUAAACGAUGCCAGCUAGCGAUCUGCCGACGUUUUCUUUGUAGACUCGGCAGGAA
RNAcentral lists this ribosomal RNA (469 nucleotides) under uncultured marine eukaryote. RNAcentral describes it as "SSU rRNA". It matches the Rfam family "Eukaryotic small subunit ribosomal RNA", at positions 617 to 1085 of the family's 1831-position model. The record is from RNAcentral.